GAUGAACGCUGGCGGCGUGCUUAACACAUGCAAGUCGAACGAUGAAGCCCAGCUUGCUGGGUGGAUUAGUGGCGAACGGGUGAGUAACACGUGAGUAACCUGCCCUUAACUCUGGGAUAAGCCUGGGAAACUGGGUCUAAUACCGGAUAGGAGCGUCCACCGCAUGGUGGGUGUUGGAAAGAUUUAUCGGUUUUGGAUGGACUCGCGGCCUAUCAGCUUGUUGGUGAGGUAAUGGCUCACCAAGGCGACGACGGGUAGCCGGCCUGAGAGGGUGACCGGCCACACUGGGACUGAGACACGGCCCAGACUCCUACGGGAGGCAGCAGUGGGGAAUAUUGCACAAUGGGCGCAAGCCUGAUGCAGCGACGCCGCGUGAGGGAUGACGGCCUUCGGGUUGUAAACCUCUUUCAGUAGGGAAGAAGCGAAAGUGACGGUACCUGCAGAAGAAGCACCGGCUAACUAGGUG
RNAcentral lists this ribosomal RNA (466 nucleotides) under uncultured bacterium. RNAcentral's name for it is "partial 16S ribosomal RNA". It matches the Rfam family "Bacterial small subunit ribosomal RNA", at positions 28 to 507 of the family's 1533-position model. The record is from RNAcentral.